RNAcentral lists this ribosomal RNA (1437 nucleotides) under uncultured bacterium. Its description in RNAcentral is "bacterial SSU rRNA". It matches the Rfam family "Bacterial small subunit ribosomal RNA". The record is from RNAcentral.
AGAGUUUGAUCAUGGCUCAGAACGUACGCUGGCGGCACGCCUAACACAUGCAAGUCGAACGAAGUAGCAAUACUUAGUGGCAGACGGGUGAGUAACAUGUAGGUAUCUGCCCUUUGGCCUGGAAUAACACGAGGAAACUUGUGCUAAUACCGGAUAAGUCUUUACGGAGAAAGCUUUAUGCACCAUUGGAUGAGCCUGCACUUGAUUAGUUUGUUGGUGGGGUAAUGGCCUACCAAGACUGUGAUCAAUAGCUGAUUUGAGAGGAUGAUCAGCCACAUUGGGACUGAGACACGGCCCAAACUCCUACGGGAGGCAGCAGUGGGGAAUCUUGCACAAUGGAGGAAACUCUGAUGCAGCGAUGCCGCGUGAGUGAAGAAGGCCUUUGGGUUGUAAAGCUCUUUCGUCGGGGAAGAAAAUGACUGUACCCGAAUAAGAAGGUCCGGCUAACUUCGUGCCAGCAGCCGCGGUAAUACGAAGGGACCUAGCGUAGUUCGGAAUUACUGGGCUUAAAGAGUUCGUAGGUGGUUGAAAAAGUUGGUGGUGAAAUCCCAGAGCUUAACUCUGGAACUGCCAUCAAAACUUUUCAGCUAGAGUAUGAUAGAGGAAAGCAGAAUUUCUAGUGUAGAGGUGAAAUUCGUAGAUAUUAGAAAGAAUACCAAUUGCGAAGGCAGCUUUCUGGAUCAUUACUGACACUGAGGAACGAAAGCAUGGGUAGCGAAGAGGAUUAGAUACCCUCGUAGUCCAUGCCGUAAACGAUGUGUGUUAGACGUUGGAAAUUUAUUUUCAGUGUCGCAGCGAAAGCGAUAAACACACCGCCUGGGGAGUACGACCGCAAGGUUAAAACUCAAAUGAAUUGACGGGGACCCGCACAAGUAGUGGAGCAUGUGGUUUAAUUCGAAGAUACGCGCAGAACCUUACCAACACUUGACAUGUUCGUCGCGACUUUAAGAGAUUAAAGUUUUCGGUUCGGCCGGACGAAACACAGGUGCUGCAUGGCUGUCGUCAGCUCGUGUCGUGAGAUGUUGGGUUAAGUCCCGCAACGAGCGCAACCCUCACUUUUAGUUGCCAUCAUUAAGUUGGGCACUCUGAAAGAACUGCCAGUGAUAAGCUGGAGGAAGGUGGGGAUGACGUCAAGUCCUCAUGGCCCUUACGUGUUGGGCUACACACGUGCUACAAUGGUAUCUACAACAGGAAGCAAAACGGCGACGUUAAGCAAAUCCUUAAAAGAUACCUCAGUUCGGAUUGCACUCUGCAACUCGAGUGCAUGAAGCUGGAAUUACUAGUAAUCGUGGAUCAGCGUGCCACGGUGAAUGCGUUCCCGGGUCUUGUACACACCGCCCGUCACACCAUGGGAGUUGGUUCUACCUUAAGGCAAGGUUUAAAACCCUUGACCACGGUAUAGUCAGCGACUGGGGUGAAGUCGUAACAAGGUAACCG